GUGUAAUAUCGACUCUGUUGAAUAAAGUUCUAGGUGGAUUUAUGAUAAUGACAUUUUCUAUCUAUGUGUCUUGACUAAAUUACGUGCCAGCAGUCGCGGUAAUACGUAAAAGACUAGUGUUAUUCAUCUUUAUUAGGUUUAAAGGGUACCUAGACGGUUAAUAAAGCUUGUCGGGAGAUGAGGUACUGAUUAACUAGAGUUAUAUGUAAGGGAGCUUUAAGGUACUGUUGAGUGUAGAGAUGAAAUUCUAUCAUACCAGAUGAUUGGCACGGGUAUAGGCGAAGGCAUCUUCUUAUGUAAUAACUGACGUUGAAGGACGAAGGCCAUUACAGUGAACAGGAUUAGAUACCCCAGUAGCCCGGGCAGAAAAUGAUGAAUGUCAUAGGUUAGAUAUUAUUUGGUCUAUAAAUGAAAGUGUAAGCAUUCCACCUCAAGAGUAAUUUGGCAACAUUGGAACUGAAAUCAUUAGACCGUUUCUGAAACCAGUAGUGAAGUAUGUUGUUUAAUUUGAUGAUCCACAAAGAACCUUACCACAACUUGAAUAUUAAAUUUAUUUUUUUUUACAAGCGUUGCACGGCUGUCUUCAGUUAGUGUCGUGAGAUUUUGGUUUUCCAUAAAAUUAACGUAAACCCUUACUUUAUUUAUAGAUAAUGUUACUAUCCGGAAUAUAUGGAUAUGAUAAGAGGGACUAAGACAAGUCAUCAUGGCCUUUAUGUUGUGGGCUAUA
This 727-nucleotide ribosomal RNA is filed under the name Tingiopsidium sp. AMF9804. Its description in RNAcentral is "SSU rRNA". It matches the Rfam family "Bacterial small subunit ribosomal RNA", at positions 423 to 1218 of the family's 1533-position model. The record is from RNAcentral. Lineage: Eukaryota; Fungi; Ascomycota; Lecanoromycetes; Peltigerales; Koerberiaceae.